AACAAUAAAAAUGGUAAUUUAAGGUCUCCGAUAGUUAGCCGGAGCUCGACUUUACUGAUACUGAGCGGAGACGGCGACAGCGACAGCGACGGUGACGUUUAUGGUAAUGAUAGGCCUGUUGGACGGACGUACUCAUAUAUUAAGCUGCCACAGCAACUCCUUAAGCUCUCUAUACUCAAGCUCGACGGCUCUUCUUUCGAUGUUCACGUUGGGAAAAAUGCUACGGUCGCAGAACUCAAACAAGCGGUGGAGGAAGUUUUUUCUUCGUCACCGAAGGAAGGUCAGGGCAAGAUUUCA
RNAcentral lists this unclassified non-coding RNA (297 nucleotides) under Hevea brasiliensis (rubber tree). The record is from RNAcentral. Lineage: Eukaryota; Viridiplantae; Streptophyta; Magnoliopsida; Malpighiales; Euphorbiaceae.